UACCUGGUUGAUUCUGCCAGUAGUCAUAUGCUUGUCUCAAAGAUUAAGCCAUGCAUGUCUAAGUAUAAGCAAUUUGUACGGUGAAACUGCGAAUGGCUCAUUAAAUCAGUUAUCGUUUAUUUGAUAGUACCUUACUACAUGGAUACCCGUGGUAAUUCUAGAGCUAAUACAUGCUAAAAACCUCGACUUCGGAAGGGGUGUAUUUAUUAGAUAAAAAACCAAUGCCCUUCGGGGCUCUUUGGUGAUUCAUAAUAACUUGUCGAAUCGCAUGGCCUUGCGCUGGCGAUGGUUCAUUCAAAUUUCUGCCCUAUCAACUUUCGAUGGUAGGAUAGUGGCCUACCAUGGUGGCAACGGGUAACGGGGAAUUAGGGUUCGAUUCCGGAGAGGGAGCCUGAGAAACGGCUACCACAUCCAAGGAAGGCAGCAGGCGCGCAAAUUACCCAAUCCCAACACGGGGAGGUAGUGACAAUAAAUACUGAUACAGGGCUCUUUCGGGUCUUGUAAUUGGAAUGAGUACAAUUUAAAUCCCUUAACGAGGAACAAUUGGAGGGCAAGUCUGGUGCCAGCAGCCGCGGUAAUCCAGCU
This 585-nucleotide non-coding RNA is filed under the name Coccidioides immitis H538.4. Its description in RNAcentral is "Eukaryotic small subunit ribosomal RNA". It matches the Rfam family "Eukaryotic small subunit ribosomal RNA", at positions 1 to 590 of the family's 1831-position model. The record is from Rfam by way of RNAcentral. Lineage: Eukaryota; Fungi; Ascomycota; Eurotiomycetes; Onygenales; Onygenaceae.